UGGAAAGUGAGGAGUUUAAAAAAAGAAAUUACCAGAAUAAAAUAAAUCAAUCUUUUAAUUCUGGAGAAUUGUCUGCGACAUAUGCAGGAGGCUCUAUCAAUGUGGAUAAGCAUAGACGUAGAUUGACCAAAGAAUUGGGAAAGGAGCCUAAUUUUAUAGAUACUUUCACCCGCACAUUUCAGAAAAAAGAUAAGACUUGGAGCGGGGACAGAGCUAAAGCAAUUAAG
Zingiber officinale is the source of this 227-nucleotide long non-coding RNA. RefSeq lists it as uncharacterized. The transcript has 2 exons. NCBI's taxonomy places the organism in Eukaryota, Viridiplantae, Streptophyta, Magnoliopsida, Zingiberales, Zingiberaceae. The record is from RefSeq and is a predicted model, not a curated record.